GAUGUCCUUUCUCUGUUCUCUUCUGAGGGUAAGGCAGGUGGAAAAUGCUGUAGUUCCAGGCCACUCAGAAUGGUCCAUGAACUUGGAGCAGUGGCAUUACCUGAAAUGUAAUUGUUUUGUUUUCUGAAUGGAAUCUGCAGUUUAACAAGGUUCCCAGGUUAUUCAUGUCUACUUGGCCCUUGUUUUGUCAUUCCAGCUUGAAUCCACUAGAUGUCACUCUUGUAACCUGGUUACAAGAGUGGGAUAUGAUUUUUUUUUUUUUUUCCAAUCAGGACUUGUUAGAAUCCCUGGAUGUGAUCAUAUUAUUAGAUGAUUUCUAUCCUACCCUUAGGGCUACCAAAUCCCACGUUAGUUAUUUGAGGUAAAAUUACCUUUCUAUUCCAUCCAAAGUGCUGGUAGAGGUUCCUGGAAAUUAUUUUCAUUUUGUUAAAUUAGCACUCUUGCCUACUCUCUGUCCCUCCUUCAAGCCCCCUGUUGCAUGAGUUAGUGUAUCAUUAUGUAACCUCCACACAGGCGAGAGUCUGUUGAUGCUGUGACUGCCUCACUGAGAGAACUGAACCCCGGGCUUCCCAGAACAGCAACACAGAGUAAAUUUUCAGGUUUCAUCUCUGUAGAAAUUAUCAGAGAGCAGAAAGGAAGCAAGGUUGUAUCCUGAAAUUAGCAUCAACCUCCGAUUGUUGGAGGAAGUGCUGAGCUAUUGGGGAGUCUCAAGGGUAGUUUUAUAGAGAAGACUGAGUCUUCUUAGAAAAGAACCAAAUUGUCUCCAAUGCAAUAUUGGAGGGAGUAAGUUUCAGCCAUGCAGAUAAAUUUAAGGAUAUUUACCAGUAAAUUAAUAUCCCAAGGGAGAUGAUUUAUUUCCAGAGAGGGAGGAGGCCCCCUGGAAAGGGCCUGUUAACAACUGGUUAGGUCUGCAUAUUAGGAAAGCGAGAUGAAAAGGUUAAAGACUGUGCUUUAGAAGAUCUUAUUUUUUGCUGGAUGCCCAGCUUGAGAAAAGUUAGGUCUUGAAAUAAAUCAGCCUUUUGCACAACUCUCUUCCCUUUGAGUCUGAUGUGCUUUCUCAUUGUUUCAGUUAACAAGGGUAGAAAACAAGUCAUAAAGUAGCAGGUGUGUGUGUGUGUGUGUGUGUGUGUGAGAGAGAGAGAGAGAGAGAGCAUUUGUGCUUUUGUAUGAGGUUGGUGAGC
Long non-coding RNA from Perognathus longimembris pacificus (Pacific pocket mouse), 1181 nucleotides. RefSeq lists it as uncharacterized. The record is from RefSeq and is a predicted model, not a curated record. The transcript is spliced from 4 exons. NCBI's taxonomy places the organism in Eukaryota, Metazoa, Chordata, Mammalia, Rodentia, Heteromyidae.